CCUACGUGGUGCUGCAGUGGGGAAUAUUGGACAAUGGGCGAAAGCCUGAUCCAGCCAUGCCGCGUGUGUGAAGAAGGCCUUCGGGUUGUAAAGCACUUUCAGUGGGGAAGAAAGCCUUGGGGCUAAUACCCUCGAGGAAGGACAUCACCCACAGAAGAAGCACCGGCUAACUCCGUGCCAGCAGCCGCGGUAAUACGGAGGGUGCGAGCGUUAAUCGGAAUUACUGGGCGUAAAGCGCGCGUAGGCGGUCUGAUAAGCCGGUUGUGAAAGCCCCGGGCUCAACCUGGGAACGGCAUCCGGAACUGUCAGGCUAGAGUGCAGGAGAGGAAGGUAGAAUUCCCGGUGUAGCGGUGAAAUGCGUAGAGAUCGGGAGGAAUACCAGUGGCGAAGGCGGCCUUCUGGACUGACACUGACGCUGAGGUGCGAAAGCGUGGGUAGCAAACAGGAUUAGAUACCCGAGUAGUC
This 465-nucleotide ribosomal RNA is filed under the name Vreelandella stevensii. Its description in RNAcentral is "partial 16S ribosomal RNA". It matches the Rfam family "Bacterial small subunit ribosomal RNA", at positions 338 to 795 of the family's 1533-position model. Lineage: Bacteria; Pseudomonadati; Pseudomonadota; Gammaproteobacteria; Oceanospirillales; Halomonadaceae. The record is from RNAcentral.